RNAcentral lists this ribosomal RNA (579 nucleotides) under uncultured bacterium. RNAcentral's name for it is "partial 16S ribosomal RNA". It matches the Rfam family "Bacterial small subunit ribosomal RNA", at positions 356 to 1375 of the family's 1533-position model. The record is from RNAcentral.
UGGGGAAUUUGGACAACGGCGAAGCCUGAUCCAGCAAUGCCGCGUGUGUGAAGAAGGCCUUCGGGUUGUAAAGCACUUUUGUCCGGAAAGAAAUCCUUGGCUCUAAUACAGUCGGGGGAUGACGGUACCGGAAGAAUAAGCACCGGCUAACUACGUGCCAGCAGCCGCGGUAAUACGUAGGGUGCAAGCGUUAAUCGGAAUUACUGGGCGUAAAGCGUGCGCAGGCGGUUUGCUAAGACCGAUGUGAAAUCCCCGGGCUCAACCUGGGAACUGCAUUGGUGACUGGCAGGCUAGAGUAUGGCAGAGGGGGGUAGAAUUCCACGUGUAGCAGUGAAAUGCGUAGAGAUGUGGAGGAAUACCGAUGGCGAAGGCAGCCCCCUGGGCCAAUACUGACGCUCAUGCACGAAAGCGUGGGGAGCAAACAGGAUUAGAUACCCUGGUAGUCCACGCCCUAAACGAUGUCAACUAGUUGUGGGAUUCAUUCCUUAGUAACGUAGCUAACGCGUGAAGUUGACCGCCUGGGGAGUACGGUCGCAAGAUUAAAACUCAAAGGAAUUGACGGGGUCAUAGCUGUUUCCU